Molecule: transfer RNA, 71 nt
Filed under: Candidatus Aenigmatarchaeota archaeon
Lineage: Archaea; Nanobdellati; Candidatus Aenigmatarchaeota
Description: tRNA-Gly
Rfam family: tRNA
About the family: Transfer RNA (tRNA) molecules are approximately 80 nucleotides in length. Their secondary structure includes four short double-helical elements and three loops (D, anti-codon, and T loops).
Source: RNAcentral
GCGCCGAUGGUUUAAUGGUAGAAUAGGGCCUUGCCAAGGCUCAGAUCCGGGUUCGAUCCCCGGUCGGCGCA